This is a small nuclear RNA of Manis pentadactyla (Chinese pangolin), 104 nucleotides long. Lineage: Eukaryota; Metazoa; Chordata; Mammalia; Pholidota; Manidae. The record is from RefSeq and is a predicted model, not a curated record.
GCUUACUUCAGCAGUACAUAUUAAAAUUACAGUUAUAAAGAGAAGAUUAGAAUAGCCCCUCAACAAGGAACAACAUGAAAAUUCACGAAGCAUUCCACGUUUUA